Molecule: long non-coding RNA, 41338 nt
Filed under: Cicer arietinum (chickpea)
Lineage: Eukaryota; Viridiplantae; Streptophyta; Magnoliopsida; Fabales; Fabaceae
Description: long non-coding RNA (CARI_LNC000579)
Source: RNAcentral
UGUAGAAUUUUACUUAGUCUUUAUUUUGACACUUCUCAGGUUGAAUUUUAUAUCCCUCGUUACUAUCAUUAGAUCCUUACAUGUAUUAAAUUUUAUAUUUUUUUGUGAAAUAAAGUAAUUUUAACUAAUGAAGCGAGUUGAACAAAAUAAUAUGACAUGAAACAUGGUAAUAAAAAGGCAAGUUUGGUUUAGUAGACCAUACUUUAUUUAACAAAGUAAGUGGGAAACAAAACAAUACAUAGAUGCAUGUUUCUAGUUUUCAGGGAGGUUCCAAGUUUCUAUAUCCUCAUCCCUUAGGUUUAAUUAUUAUCGUCUUCGUCUCCGUCACCUUCGUCUCCGUCACCAUUGUCUCCGUCGUCGGGAUUUUCUUUAUCGUCUUCGAAGGGUGCCUCACUAUUACCAUUUUCUCCUUCACUAUUAUUGUCUCCUCUUCCCCAUCCCCAUGGUAACCAACCCAAUGCCAAAUCUCUCAAACCUCCCCAAUCUACAUACCUUCUCAUUAAAGUACUAUAUUCGGAUUGCUCAGCUGCCACAAUAGUCAUAAGAAGGGGAACACACAGAAAGAAUACUAAGAUAAAAAAUUUUGUUUUCAUCCUUGCUUAAAUUUCUUAAAGUUUGUUGUAAAAUAUGAAUAAUAUCCUCAAAUAUUUAUAGUGAUCACGCAUGGGAAAAAUAAGAUAAUUUUAAAAGACAAAAACAUAUUGAAGAAAAAUAUAUUGCGUACUAAAAAAAAAGACAAUAUGUAUUCCAUGGCCAAUUGCAAAGACAAUGGGUCAUCAAAAUCCAUAGAGCCAUGGAAAGGUUAAAUAAAUUAGAACAUGUUUGUCUUUUGGAUCAUGAUAAUUUGAGGAUUAAAGAGACGUUUUAUACAAUUAAUCUUUUCUAAAAAGUUGCUUUUGGUUAAAUUGUUUCAGAAAAUAGAAUUUAAAACUAGCGAGUUGUAAAAUUUGGCUUCCUAAUAAAUUUAGGAUAAAAGUGAUGUAAUGUCCAAUUAAUUCUAAAUGAGUGAUUUAUUUUGACUAUUAAAUGUUUUAAUAUUGGAAUAUUAAAUUUUUAGUAUCUAAAAAAUUUUGAAAUUUUAUUUUUAGUACUUAUUAAAAAAAAUUAUAUUUUUUAGUUUCUACAAAAUUGUUAUAUAAGUAGUUUAAUUUAUACCAUAUUGGAACAUCAAUAUAUAUAUAUAUAUAUAUUUGAAUACUUUUUUUUUUUUUGCAUACAUGCUGACAUUAUAAAAAGUUCAACAUAAAAAAUGAUAUCAAAAUUCAAUUUCUAGAUCUAUAUUUUAAAGACUUUUAUCUUAAAUAGACGACGUUUAAUUAAUUCAUCCCAAAUUAAAAAAAAAUUAUAUGAAUUAAUUUUUAAUAAUAUUCUAAACAUGCUUACAAUAUUAUUCAAAUAUUUAAAAGUUGAAGAAUAUUUUAUUUCAUCAGAGACUAAAAUAAUUUGAUUAAUAAUUUUAUAGGAAUUAAAAAAAAUGUAUGCACACAUAAAAAAAUAAAAAAUUAUCAUCUUUAUAUGGGUCUAAGAACACAACUAAAACAAAUCAAACAAUAACUUCUCGUUUUAAUUAUGAGUUAUAUUUGGUAUUUGUAACAUUUUAUUUUAUUUUUACAUCUUACCUUAUUAUGAGUUGAUAUAAUUAUUCUAUAAAUUAUUGGUGAUAAUUAUUAUUGUAAUGUGUUAUUUUAAUUUUUAAUAAUAAUAAUAAUAAUAAUAAUAAUAAUAAUAAUAAUAAUAAUAAAAGGGAAUCGUUAAAAACAAAUUUCAUGAUUUAGAGGCUGUAAAUACACGUUUCCCAUUUAAUAUCACGUUUUCCAUUUAAUACCCUCCCCUUUAAUACACAUCCCCAUUUAAUAGCACACGUUACCCACUUCUAAUGAUAAAAAAUGAAUAAAACAAAACAUAAAAAGAAAUAAAACAAAAAUGGGUUUAAGAGAGAAAAAGAAAUAAAUUCAAGAACUAAAUGAGUUACUGAUUCAUCCCUUAAGUAUAGCACAUUUGGAGCAAAGACUUGGGUGAGAAUUUUAAUAACGCCACUCAUAUCGAUAAGGGCGUGACUCCAUCCGCUUUUCUAAUUGAAUUAUUGUUUGUGUGUUAUAUUCAAAAUGAAUAUUAAUAAUUAUUGUGUUUGACAUGUUCAAAAUGUGGAAAAUAAAUGUUAUGUGAUAUGUUGUUAUAAUGGUUGUGUUGAGCAUAUUCAAAGUGUGAAGAAUAAAUGUUAUGUGAUAUGUUGUUAUAAUGGUUGUGUUGAACAUAUUCAAAGUGUGGAAAAUAAAUGUUAUGUGAUAUGGUGUUAUAAUGUUAUGUCGAACAUAUCCAAAGUGUGAGGAAUAAAUGUUAUGUGAUGUGUCGUUGAUAAGUUAGUAUCCCAUUAUAUUUUAUUAGAGUGUACACGAAGCCCUUGCGGGGGGAAGCGAUAUUCCAGAAUCAUUACAUUGGCAUAUAUAAAUUAAGUAAUAAGGUUUGUUGGAUAUGCAUUAAUUAAAGUGUAGUGUGACUAGUGUUUUGUAACGAUAACUGAUACAUUGUAUCUUCUGGUUUUGGAUGAAUUAACUUUAUAAAAAAUGUGAUAUUGUAUCUCCUGGUUUUAAGUGAAUUAACGUUAUUAAAUAUGUGAUAGUGUACUUCUAUAUCUUAUUAUUAAUUAGGUAGAUAUGAUAAUAUUAUAUUUGUAUUGUCAAUGUGGUUAGUCGUUUGAGUGAAUUAAUGUUAUUAAUUAUGCAAACAUUGUACUGUUAUCUUUUCAUUGUUGUUAUAUCUUUAAUGCGUUGUGAUUUUUAAUUGUUAAAUGGAGUACAUGAUUUAUUUAUAUUUUUGCUAUAACAACUAUAUAUGCAUGCAUAUUUGCUAUGUGUUUGUUAUUUUGAGAUGACCCUUAUAUUUGAUAGGACGUUAUAUAGUGCUAUGUGUUUGUUAUAUUUUCAUUGUUAUUAUACCUUUGGGUGCGUUUUGAUUUUUAACUAUUAAAUGAAGUACAUGAUUUAUUUAUAUUUUUGCUACAACAACUAUAUAUGCAUGCAUAUUUGCUAUGUGUUUGUUAUUCGGAGUUGACCCUUACAUUUGACAGACUUGUUGGGUUAGUUUACCAAAAGUCCAAAGUUUAUGACCAACUGGAUUUAUGUUUGGGUAGUAAAAUAUCAAUAGUUUUGGCUAUAGGAGUCUCUUUUGUUUAACAUAUUAAAUUUACAUUGUAAAUAUUUUGAUUCUUUAUUUUCGAAAAUAUAACUAAAAAUAUUAUUAAUUGAUUUUAAGAUAAAUGAGUAUUUAAAAUAAUUAUAAAUAAAUAAAAGCAAAUUUGUAUUUUUACGUAUAGAAUUCCGUUAGUUAAUGUCCCGAAAAAGCGGGAUGUUACAGUGUUGGUUAGCAUCCUUCUAAUCAGCUGUUGGGGAAUUCCUUGUGCCUUCAUUUUAUUGAAUGGAUUUUUCUUUGUCCGAAGAAGAACAAACCAUUGUGGAGUGUUUGCCGUUAUAAACAAUUAUUAAAAUAGAGUAAUAUUAAUGGAAAUGCACAAUUGCUCCUGCGAUCCCUUAACUUAAUUUUAGAUAACACUUUAAUUUUUUUUAAAUGGUCUUUUAUUUAAUAUUAUUACAAAAAUUCGAAAAUAUAAAGAAUGAAAAUAUGAGUUUAUUUAAAGAUUUAAGUUAUUUCAUCGACGUUGUUUCCAUAAACUAUGAUCUCAUCAACAUAUAUCACUAAGGCAGUAAAGGACGAGCAAAUGGAUUUAAUGAAUAAAGAAUGAUAUGAAUUAGAUUGAGUAUACUCUUUUGAAAUGAGAGUGGAGGAAAGUCUAGCAAACCAUUGCUUACUAGACUAUUUUAAACCAUAAAGAGGUUUUUGAAGUUUACAAACAAUAUUUGGAUUAUGAGCCAAUAACCCAAGGAACAAUUGCAUAUAGACUUCCUCUUCUAAAUUGCCAUGUAAAAAAGCAUUGUAAACGUCUAACUUAUGAAAAUGUCAAUUAUGAGAUGAUACAAGAGCAAGUAAGAGUCUUACGAUAAUGAGCUUAGCUAAAGUGAAUAAGUAUCAAAAUAAUCAAUUCCUUCAAUUUGGUUAAAACAUUUGGCAACAAGGCGUGCCUUAUAAUGUAUUAUAGAACCGUAAGCGUUAUAUUUUACCUUAUAAACCCAUCGACAACCUAAGGGCUUUUUAACACGUGGCAACUUAGUAAGAGUCCAAGUGUUGACUGAUCGAGGGUUGUUAGAUGAGAUUGCAUGGUCUGAACCUAAUUAUUAUAUGUGACAACUUGUUUAAAGCUAGUAGGGUCACGAACAACAGAAAUAAAGGAAAUAAAAUGAUAGAAAAAAAUAUGACAAUUUUGACUAAGAUAAGACCUGGUAUAAAUGAUACAAUAUAUUGGACUUAUGGCACCUAUCAUGUGCAAAAUUUCACUCAAAAUCUUGUAAGUAAGCAGGGACCUUGUUAGACCUUGAAGACCUACGAAUAGUAUCUUGAUGCUCAUCAAAAUCAAAGAUAGGGGAAGUAUGUAAAUUGUUAGGACUAGUAUCAAGACUAGAUGAAGGAGUUGGAGCAAAUAUAAUACUAUCAUCAGUGGAGUUAUUAACAUAAACAAUUAUUAGGCUAAAGCAUAUUAGUAUCAUCAAACAGAAUAAAGGAAUCACCAGAAUCAUCAUUAAUAUGCAAGGAAGUAGAAUUAAGAUUAACAUAUGGAAAAACAUGUUCAUAAAAAUCUACAUUCCUAGAAACAAAGGUGACAUGGGUAUGUAAAUCAAACAUCAAUUAACCUUUAGUUCCUUAUCUAAAUCCAAGGAAAAUACACUUGGGGGCCCUUUGAUAAAGUUUAGUUCUAUGAUAUAGCAAAGUGGAAGCAUAAGCAAGACAUCAAAAAACCUUUAAAUACAUAAAGUUAGGAGAUUGUUUAUAUAACAUUUCGAAAGGGGUCUUAUUAUGUAAAACAGGAGGUAGUUAACCUGUUAAUAAGAACAACAUGAUUAAUAGCAAAAGACAAAAAAUUCUUUGGUAGUUUAGAGUGGAAAAUAAGUGAUCUAGUCACAUUAAGAAGAUGAGGAUGUUUCCUUUCAACAAUUAAGUUUUAUUGGGGUGUCUCAACACAAGAGGUUUGAUGCAAUAUGCUCACACUAGAAUAAAAAAGAGGCAUAUUGAAUUCAAGACCAUUAUCAUUGCUAAUUUUCUAGACUUUUGUAUGGAAUUGUGUUCUAACAAAGGAAACAAAGUUUUGAAGGAGCAUACGAGUUUCAGAUUUAGCAUUCAUUAAAAAUAACCAAGAAAAUCAUGAAUAAUCGUCAACAAUAGUUGGAUAAUAUUGAUGACCCUCAAAAGAAGGAACAUUAAUAGGUCCUCAAAUAUCAACAUGUAUAAGGCUAAAAAUAUGUAAAGAAACAUUUUCACUACGGGGAAAAGGGAUUUUAGCAUUUUUUGCCCAAAUAAAAAGAGUCACAAAUUAUAUUUUUAUUAACUGAAAUGUAAGAAAAUCGUUUACACGUUUGUUGUAACAGGGUUAUUGAUGGAUGGACCUAACCUAAAAUGUAAAACAUCAAAUUUAUUUGGUAUAGUGGCAUUAACAAAGGUAGUAUAAUGGUCAUUAGAAACAAGAGCAAAAUCAGUAGAAAAAACCAUAGCAGAGGUAUAAUAUGAUCAAGAAUAUACAGGCUAUUACAAUGCUCCACAUGUCAAAUCGUCUUAUGGGUAUGCAAAUCCUGAAUUGUAUAAAAAUUCUUAGAAAAUAAUAGUUUGUAAUUCAAAUCAAGAGUGAGUUUUGAAAUAGAUAUUAAACUAAAAUUGAAUUGAUGAAUAAACAACCUAUUUUUCAAGUAAAGAUCAGAAGUAAAGUAAAAAUCUUCUAAAAAAUGCGCAAGAAUAAACGACCCAUUUGAAAAAAUAAUAAAAAUUGGUUCAAUUUGUUUCAUUGAAUAAAAACAUUUGAUAAAUGGACCAACAUGAUCUGAAGCCCCCGAAUCCAUAAUCCAUAGAGAAAAAGGAAUAGAUACGAAACUUGUAUUAGAAAUACUUGAUACUACGUGAUUGGAUUGAUCUGAAAUAGAAUUCUUGGUUUUGAAAGAAGUUACAUCAUCAUAUUUAGAAUUGUGUAGCAGAUUAAUCAUAAUAUUAUAAUAUGUUUUGCUAAGAUGAUUGUUGAUUGUUGGAAUCGUGUUGCUGUGUAGGCUAGGAGAGAGAAGGAUUCUUGGAACCAUUUAUUGAAGACGAAUUCAAAGAUUGUUUUUUAGGAUAAGUUAGUUGAAAGCCAUGUUUGAAAUAACAUAUGUCUACAAUGUGAUUAUUCUUAUGGCAUCGAGUAUAAAACAUGGAGGGCCGAGGCUGACCACGACGAUGAUGGUAUUGCCCGCGACCUUGACCUGAAUUUUUGGAAGUAUUGAUAUUAAAAACAACAUAAGUAUCAGGAGGAUUAUGGUUCGAAUUGGGGACCAGGUCUUAUUGAAAAACGAAAGAAUACACCUUGUUAAUAUAAGGUAAAGGAUCCAUGAAUAAAAUCUGUGUGUGAAUGUUAUUGUAAUUUUUAUUCAAACCUUUAAGAAAACAAGUGAUAUACUCUUGAUGCUUGAAAUAAUGAACUGUUGUGCUGAGCUUGCAAGAACGAGGAAUAGGGCAUAUGCAUGAUUGUGUUGGGCACAAAUCCUCCAAUUCACCCCAAAGAAUCUUCACAUUGGUGAAAUAGGUAGACAAAGAAUGUUCACCUUGUUUGAUUGAAUGAAGAUCACGAAUUAGAUUGGAAAAUCGAAAAUUAUUUCCUUGAAUGAAACGAUCACGAAGAUCAUACCAUAACUCUAAUGCUGAAUCAAUGCAAAUGGAGAACGUUAAAAACUCAAUAUUGAUUUUGGUUGUGAAAACGGAGAACAUCCUUGGUUCUGGAAACAUAAAAUGGAGAACAUUCUAGGUUAAUUAAAAUCAAUAGUUUAGUUUAUAUGUUUAACUUGAUAAACAAAAGGACUGAAAGUAAAUAGAGAUAAGAGGAUAGAUAUCACACAAUGAUAUAUCUUAGUUCACCUAACUCGGGCUAUGUUCAGUCCUUACAAUUGUGAUAUUUUCCACUAAGCAUUCCAAUGGAGAACGUUCUUAGUUUUACACAGUUUUGUUCAGAUUAACCUUGAUAUGUAACAACAAUUCAUUUUCACUUAGAAAGGAUUCAAUUAGGUCACUUAUCAAUCUUUAGAGAGGAUUUUACAAUUCACCUUUUAACCAUAAAAAUGAUUUUCUACAAACUAUAAACAACUAUUAUAGUCUUGAGUUUACACAAUAAUGAUUUAAAGAGAUUGGUAGAAUCUGACUAUGUUUAAAUCGUGUUUGAGAAUACAUUCUUGAUAAAAGAAAUCAAUAUAACGGUUCUGAUAUUUAAAGAAGAAAACAUAACUUAAUCUUUUGCUUAUGAUUGAGAAGCUUUCAAGUAUAUAAGUGUAUGUAAGUGAUGGAUUUCUUAACACUUGAAGUUCUAUUUUUCCUUGAACUUGAGGUUCUUUUUAUAGGCUUCAAGGAGGAUGAUGACAACUACUUUGACCUUUGGAAAAUAUCUAGCUGUCAUGUGUCAGAUUUGACAAAAUUCCAUAACUUUUAAACCAUGAAUGUUUCUUGACUAGCUUCUCAUUCUUGACCGUGAUUCAUGGUCUUUUAUGCUCAUAGACAUCUCAAAGAUGUGUUUAAUGUAUUAAGAUCGAGAAUGUCUUUGGUUCGAUCAAAACAAGCUAGAGAAGGAUGUACACAUGUUGGAGAUUGAUUGUUAAUAUGCUGGAUAAUGAUGUUAUUUGUAACAUCCCGCGGUUUCGAGACAUUAACUAACAAAAUUCUAAACGUAAAAAUACAAAUUCGUUUUUAUUUAUUUAUGAUUAUCUUAAAUACUCAUUUACCUUAAUAUCAAUUAAUAAUAUUUUUAGUUAUAUUUUCAAAAAUAAUGAAUCAAAGUAUUUACAAUCACUAAAAGUAAAUUUAAUACAUUAAACAAAAGAAACUCAUAGAGGCAAAACUAUUGAUGUUUUACUACCCAAGCAUAAAUCCUAGUUGGUAAUAAACUUUGGAGUUGUGGAAAACUCACCCAAUAAAUCUAACACACCACACAUCUAUAUAUGAAUGAACGCAUGUGGACACUUUAAUAAAUCAUUAAUAUAAUGCAAGGUUAACUUAUUAACGGACAUAACAUUUAUUCUUCACACUUUGAAUAUGUUCAACACACCCAUUAUAACAACAUAUCACAUAACAUUAUUUUUCACACUUUGAAUAUGUUCAACAUAACCAUUAUAAUAACAUAUCACACCAUAUUUAUUUUCUACAAUUUGAUAAAAAAAAACAUUUCAACAUAGUAUAUAUUUAAUCUAACAAAUUUAUGAAUAAACACAAUCAUACAUAAAUAUAAUUGGAGUGAUGGCCUUACCGAUUUGAGUGUCGUUGCUCCAAAUGUGCUACAUUUGAGCUAUGAAUCACUAACUCAUUUAGUUCUUGUAUUUCUUCCUUUACCUCUCUUAAACCAGCAUUUUUGAAUGGAAGACGUCAUUGUUGUUUAGUUCCUUAUUAUCGUUAGAAGUGGGGAACUUGGUAUUAAAUGGGGAGCGUGGUAUUCCAGCAUAAGCCAUCAAAUUUAUUUUUAAUUAAUGGUUCCCUUUUAUUAUUAUUAUUAUUAUUAUUAUUAUUAUUAUUAUUAUUAUUAUUAUUAUUAUUGUUAUUAUUAUUAUUGUUAUUAUUAUUAUUAAUAUUAAUAUUAUUACCAAAAAUCAAAAUAACACAAUACAAUAGUAAUUAUCACCAACAAAUUCCUAGAAUAAUUAUCUCAAAUUCUAAUAAGGUAAAAUAUAAAAAUUAAAUAAAAUGUCUAGAUGUUAUAUGUUAGAGAGUCAAACAUUUGUGAUAACUUUCCACGAAUAUAUCAAACGUGUCAUGUAACACCCCAAAUUUUAUAAUAAACUAUUUUAUUAAUUAAAUAAGAUUUUAAAUAAUUAAUUUGACGUUAAACUUAUUUUAUAAUAUAUGUUGAUUUUCGUGCUAGUUUUGAGAUAAUUUCUACGAUGUGCUAGUUUUAUAAAUAUUAUAUUAAAUGAGCGAUAUAAAUAAUAAAUAUUAUAUUUUAUUAUUUGAUUUUUUUUUAAAAUAAUAGUAUUUUAGUGUAAUAUUUUAAAGAAAAAGAUUUUAUGCGAUUUUAUGUGUAUAUACCUGUACUCAAUUAAUGUAAUAUUUUUCUGUGCGCUUGAAUGAUGUUAAGUACGCACGUAGUUAUAUUUUAAUUAUUUAUAACUAUUUUCUAUUUUUAGUUAUUUAUUUUAUAAAUAAUUAUCUUGAGAUAGUAGUAAAUUGUAUUUAAUCUUGAUUUUUAUAUACUUGUUAUGGCAUUAUGAUUUUAUAUUUAUUUAUUUUAUAAUUUUAAAUAUUUUCUAACGUAGUAAUUUAAUGUAAGUAUUUGAAAAAAUAAGUAUAAUUAUAGUGAUUAAUUUGAAUAUGAGAGUUUUGGUUAUGAAUAUAUUUUAAAAUAAUAAUUAUUUUAUUUUAUAAAUUAUUAGUUUUGAAAUAUUAAUAAUAUUUUACUAAUAAAAUUAUGUUUUAUAAAUUCAUACACACUAUGUUUUUUAUUAUACCAUAGAACUUGUCAUAAAUUUUUUAAUUUUCAUUGCCUCUAAUAAAAUUUAGAAAAAUUCUAUUGAACAUUCAUUAAUCUGACAUCUACUAAUACAUUUGAUAGUUAAUUCUAUUGAACAUUUAUUUAUUAAUCUGACAUCUACUAAUACAUUUGAUAGUUAAGUUAAUAGUUAAAUAAUUUUUUUUUGAAUCAAAACUAUUUUUAUUAUUUAGCAAAUCAUAAUCACUAAAAGUUAUUUAUCAAAAUUGUCGGCAAAAUAAAAAUUAAUUUUUUUCAUUGAAUUUUUAUAACUCAUAAUAAUGAGUAUUUAAUAUUUUUUACAAUAUAAUGUAAAAACUUAAUUUAAUGCUUAUAAUAAUGAACUAAUUGUUUUUCUUAUAAAAUAAUUUUUCCUAAAAUAUAAAAGUGAAUAAAUAGCUCUUUGAUUAAUAAAAAUGAUCGUUAAUUAUUAAUUUAAAGAACAAAUAUUUUGUGUGUGGUGUAUUAUAAAAGUUAUAUCAAUUUUGAUAAUGUUAAAUUGUAAACACAUAUUACAUAAUCAUUUAGAAAAUAAUACAAACUACAUAUAAAAUUAUAAUGAAAAUGUAUACAAAGAAAAAAUGAUAUAUAACUCACCCUUUUCGGUAUUAGAGGAAGUCUCCAUUAAGUCCCUAGCUGAGACCUCAAAGGAGAUCAUAAGAACCAUAGCCAAAAGGCCAAGGAUGAGGGUUGUUUUUUUUCAAAUCCAUUGUUCAAUAUUUGGUAGUCAAAUUAAGAUGAGAAAAAUGGUAAGAAAGUGUAGUCUAUAUAUAGUGGAGGGAGAGGUUGAGAAAAAUUGUUUAAUAUGUGUCAAAUAUUGAGUAAAUAUAAUGUGUGAAAUCAUCAAAAAUGAUAUUUAUAUGGACAGAAAGAAUAUUAACCAACAAAUUUUAUCUCCCCAAUUGAUUUUUUUUAUCAAAAAAAAAAAAUUAUAAUAUUAGAUUUAUUAAUAGUGUAUAUUUUUCCAUGUUUACAUUUCGAUAAUUUAUAUUUUUUAUGAUUGUAUUUAUUUUUGGUAAAAAAAAAUGUAAUAUAUAUCUAAUAUUGAAAAUUUGAAAGAAUUCUGUUACGAAAAUAAAUUGUAUAGAAAAUCCAUCCUUCUAUAUCUAGAGUUAUUUUUGGACUUUUUCUAUAAUUAGGGAUGAAGCCAUAAGUACUAAGUAGUAGUUGUCACUGCCCCUAAUUGAGAUUGAAGCAUUAAAUGUGAUAACAUAGUUGUGAGAAGAAAUCAAAAUACUGGGCAGGUGGAAAUAAACGGUCUGUAGGUUACUUUUUUUUUAUCCCACAAUGAAUGUUACUUUCUCAUUCCACAUAUUAGACAUAUUAAGAAAUGACAAUUAAUAAAUGGAAGAGAAUAGUAAAUUAAUUUACAAAAUUAUCUAUGCGGACAAUUGGUAUGUUUCUCACUAUCACUAUUAUAAAUGUAAAAUGAAAUGUGUAUUUUGGAAAUAGUGUACAUGCAUAUAGUAUUGAUUAGAAGAUAAAAUUAAAAAAAAUAAUUAAUCUUACAUUGAAAACUGAUAAAUAAUAUUUAUUUUAUAAUGAAUUUUAUUUGUUAAAGUGAUACUGAGAGAGUAAUUUAUUCUACAUUCUAUAUAUGGUAAAAAGUAUUGUUUUCUCUAUUUCAUUAAUACAUUUAUUUUAUAAUAUGUAAAAUGAUCAAAAAGGUCAUCACUCAUUGUGGAAUGAAGUGAUUAAUUUUAUAAAAAUGUCAUAGAUAAAUUAUUAGGGGUGCAACAAGACAAUCAAUAUCACCAAAUGAAUGUGUUAUUAUUUUAAUUUUCAAUAAAAAAUUAAUUGUUGUUUUUUAAGUUUAUUUUUAAAUUAAUAUAAUAUACCUUAUUCUUAAGUUACAAUGAGAAAAUAAUGUUACAAUGAGAAAAUAAUAUCUAAUGGUUGGGUGAUGAGUACUAAAUGACAUAAACUAAUUUUCUUGCCUAAAACAAACAUGACAAUUUUAGUGAUAAAAAUUAAUGUAGCGAGUUGAACAAAAUAAUAUGACAUGAAACAUGAUAAUAAAAAGGCAAGUUUAAGUGAAAGAUGGUUCAUCAUAUAACAAAAGACAGGGGCGGAGCUUCCUUGGGACUAAGGGGGGCCGCGCCACCCCAAAAAAAAAAAAUUAUAAGUACAAUGACUAAAAUGUCCAUUUUAAAAUUAAAAAAUUACAAAACAUACCUAAACCUAAUUCAGUUUUCUGUUUAUUUCUCUCUCUUCCAUCCAGCCUUCCUCUCUCCCUCUCUCUCUUUUGCUUACAAGUUCCAGCCUUCCUCUCUCCCUCCUCCAUAAUCAGAUUCAUGAAUCAAGACAAACGUGCGGUCGUCUCUCUACGACAAUCGCUCGUCUGCUCGCUCACGAAAUCGCUCGCUGCGGCCAAUCGUUCGUCUGCCUGACUGCCUCUGUCCGUGGCCAUUCGUCGCUGCCUCUCUACUCGCCGCAACCUCAUCAGUCAUCUGUCUCUAGAUCUUGUUGCUGCUUUGUUCAAAAUGUUCGAAUUUCUAUUUUGUUAUUGCUGAUUUUUGUUAGUUAGUGUCGAUUUUUGUUAGGUUUGAUAUUUUUUAGCAUAAAAUUUAAAACUUAUAUUGUUAUUGUUGAGUUUAGAGUUUUGAUUUGGAGUUUGAAAUUUUGAUUUGGAGUUUUAAUUAGCAGAUUUUUGUUUAGAGUUUUUGUGUUGCACAUAAGGUGUUUGAAUUUAUGUCAGUAUAAAGUGUUUGAGUUUUUUUUUGUCUCACAUAAGGUGUUUGAUUUUAUGUGUUUGAUUUUUUUUUUUGCAUACAAAGUGUUUGAGUUUUGUUGCAUUUUUGUUUGAGUUUUUUUGUCUAUAUAAAGUGUUUUAUUUAUUUUUUUUGAAUAUAAGAUGUUUUAUGUUUAUUAAAUUGAUUGAUUUAGAUAAGUUUGUGAGAAUGAAGAAGAGUAGAAGAAUUGAUUAUUUUUUCAUGAGGAAAAUUUGUGAGAGUGAAUUAUGUCAGCCACUCCAAAUUUUUCAGUCAAGUUCCGCCAUUGACAAUAGAUCAUACUUUAUUUAAUAUAGUAAGUGGGAAACAAAAUAAUUCAUAGAUGCAUGUUUCUAGUUUUCAUGGAGAUUCCAUGUUUCAAUGUCCUCUUUUCCUAGGUUUAUUACCAUUUUCUCCUUCACCUUUGUCUCCGUUAUCGUGGUUUCCUCCAUUGUCGUCUUCUUCAACGGGUGGCUCACUAUCGUGGUAUCCCAUGCCACCAAAGUUGUAUAUCAUGCUCUGUACCCAUUCUGAUGCCCAACCCAAUGCCAAAUCUCUCAAAGUUCUCCAAUCUACAAACCUUCUUAUUAAAGUACUAUAUUCGGAUUGCUCAGCUGCCACAAUAGUCAUAAGAAGGGGAACACAUAGAAAGAAUACUAAGAUAAAAAAUUUUGUUUUCAUCCCUUGCUUAAAUUUCUUAAAGUUUCUUGUAAAAUAUGAAUAAUAUCCUCAAAUAUUUAUAGUGAUCACGCAUAGAAAAAAUAAGAUAAUUUUAAAAGACAAAAACAUAUUGAAGAAAAUUAUAUUGCGUACUAAAAAAAAAGACAAUAUGUAUUCUAUGGCCAAUUGCGAAGACAAUGGGUCAUCAAGAUCCAUAGAGCCAUGGAAAAGUUAAAUAAAUUAGAACAUGUUUGCCUUUUGGAUCAUGAUAAUUUGACGAUCAAAGAGACGUUUUAUCCAAUUAAUCUUUUCUAAAAAGUUGCUUUUGGUAAAAUUGUUUCAGAAAAUAGAAUUUAAAACUAGGGAGUUGUAAAAUUUGACUUCCUAAUAAAUUUAGGAUUAAAGUGAUGUAAUGUCCAAUUAAUUCUAAAUGAAUGAUUUAUUUUGACUAUUAAAUGUUUUAAUAUUGGAAUAUUAAAUUUUUAGUAUCUAAAAAAUUUUGAAAUUUUAAUUUUAGUACUUAUUAAAAAAAAUUAUAUUUUUUAGUUUCUACAAAAUUGUUAUGUAAACAGUUUAAUUUAUACCAUAUUGGAACAUCAAUAUAAAUAUUUAAAUACUUUUUUUUUUGCAUACAUGCUGACAUUAUAAAAAGUUCAACAUAAAAAAUGAUAUCAAAAUUCAAUUUCUAGAUCUAUAUUUUAAAGACUUUUAUCUUAAAUAGACGACGUUUAAUUAAUUCAUCCCAAAUUAAAAAAAAAUUAUAUGAAUUAAUUUUUAAUAAUAUUCUAAACAUGCUUACAAUAUUAUUCAAAUAUUUAAAAGUUGAAGAAUAUUUUAUUUCAUCAGAGACUAAAAUAAUUUGAUUAAUAAUUUUAUAGGAAUUAAAAAAAAUGUAUGCAUACAUAAAAAAAUAAAAAAUUAUCAUCUUGGUUCUAAGAACACAACUAAAACAAAUCAAACGAUAACUUCUCGUUUUGAUUAUGAGUUAUAUUUGGUAUUUGUAAUAUUUUAUUUUAUUUUUACAUCUUACCUUAUUAUGAGUUGAUAUAAUUAUUCUGUAAAUUAUUGGUGAUAAUUAUUAUUGUAAUGUGUUAUUUUAAUUUUUAAUAAUAAUAAUAAUAAUAAUAAUAAUAAUAAUAAAAAAGGGAAUCGUUAAAAACAAAUUUCAGACGCUGGAAAUACACGUUUCCCAUUUAAUAUCACGUUUUCUAUUUAAUACCAUCCCUUUAAUACACGUCCCCAUAUAAUAACACACGUUACCCACUUCUAAUGAUAAAAAAGGAAUAAAACAAAACAUAAAAAGAAAUAAAACAAAAACGGGUUUCAGGGAGAAAAAGAAAGAAAUUCAAGAACUAAAUGAGUUACUGAUUCAUCCCUCAAGUAUAACACAUUUGAAGCAAAGACCACUGCGUGAAAAUUUUAAUUACGACACUCAUAUUGAUAAGGGGCAUGACUCCAUCCGCUUUUCUAAUUGAAUUAUUGUUUGUGUGUUAUAUUCGAAAUGAAUAUUAAUAAUUGUUGUGUUUGACAUGUUCAAAAUGUGGAAAAUAAAUGUUAUGUGAUAUGUUGUUAUAAUGGUUGUGUUGAGCAUAUUCAUAGUGUGAAGAAUAAAUGUUAUGUGAUAUGUUGUUAUAAUGGUUGUGUUGAACAUAUUUAAAGUGUGGAAAAUAAAUGUUAUGUGAUAUGGUGUUAUAAUGUUGUGUUAAACAUAUUCAAAGUGUGAAGAAUAAAUGUUAUGUGAUGUGUCGUUGAUAAGUUAGUAUCGCAUUAUAUUUUAUUAGAGUGUACACGAAGCCCUUGCGGGGGAAGCGAUAUUUCGGAAUCAUUAUAUAGAUUAAGUAAUAAGGUUUGUUGGAUAUGCAUUAAUUAAACUGUAGUGUGACUAGUGUUUUGUAAAGAUAACUGAUACAUUGUAUCUCCUGGUUUUUGUGAAUUAAAGUUAUAAAAAAUGUGAUAUUGUAUCUCCUGGUUUUGAGUGAAUUAACGUUAUUAAAUAUGUGAUAGUGUACUUCUAUAUCUUAUUAUUAAUUAGGUAGAUAUGGUAAUGUUAUAUUUGUAUUGUCAAUGUGGUUAGUCGUUUGAGUGAAUUAAUGUUAUUAAUUAUGCAAACAUUGUACUGUUAUCUUUUCAUUGUUAUUAUAUCUUUAAUGCGUUGUGAUUUUUAAUUGUUAAAUGGAGUACAUGAUUUACUUAUAUUUUUGCUAUAACAACUAUAUAUGCAUGCAUAUUUGCUAUGUGUUUGUUAUUUUGAGAUGACCCUUAUAUUUGACAGGACGUUACAUAUAGUGCUAUGUGUUUGUUAUAUUUUCAUUGUUAUUAUACCUAUUGGUGCGUUUUGAUUUUUAACUGUUAAAUGAAGUACAUGAUUUAUUUAUAUUUUUGCUAUGAUAUCUCUAUAUGCAUGCAUAUUUGCUAUGUGUUUGUUAUUUGGAGUUGACCCUUACAUUUGACAGACUUGUUGGGUUAGCUUACCAAAAGUCCGAAGUUUAUGACCAACUGAAUUUAUGCUUGGGUAGUAAAAUAUCAACAGUUUUGGCUAUAGGAGUCUCUUUUGUUUAAUAUAUUAAAUUUAAAUUGUAAAUAUUUUGAUUCUUUAUUUUUGAAAAUAUAACUAAAAAUAUUAUUAAAUGAUUUUAAGAUAAAUGAGUAUUUAAAAUAAUUACAAAUGAAUAAAAGCAAAUUUGUAUUUUUACGUAUAGAAUUUUGUUAGUUAAUGUCCCGAAAAAGCAGGAUGUUAGUCUUGGUUAGCAUCCUUCUAAUCUGCUGUUGGGGAAUUCCUUGUGCCUUCAUUUUAUUGAAUGGAUUUUUCUUUGUCCGAAGAAGAACAAACCAUUGUUGAGUGUUUGCCGUUAUAACCAAUUAUUAAAAUAGAGUAAUAUUAAUGGAAAUGCACAAUUGCUCCUGCGAUCCCUUAACUUAAUUUUAGAUAACACUUUAAUUUUUUUUAAUUGGUCUUUUAUUUAAUAUUAUUACAAAAAUUCGAAAAUAUAAAGAAUGAAAAUAUGAGUUUAUUUAAAGAUUUAAGAUAUUUCAUCGACGUUGUUUCCAUAAAUUAUGAUCUCAUCAACAUAUAUCACUAAGGCAGUAAAGGACGAGCAAAUGGAUUUAAUGAAUAAAGAAUGAUAUGAAUUAGAUUGAGUAUACUCUUUUGAAAUGAGAGUGGAGGAAAGUCUAGCAAACCAUUGCUUACUAGACUAUUUUAAACCAUAAAGAGGUUUUUGAAGUUUACAAACAAUAUUUGGAUUAUGAGCCAAUAACCCAAGUAACAAUUGCAUAUAGACUUCCUCUUCUAAAUUGCCAUGUAAAAAAGCAUUGUAAACGUCUAACUUAUGAAAAUGUCAAUUAUGAGAUGAUACAAGAGCAAGUAAGAGUCUUACGAUAAUGAGCUUAGCUAAAGUGAAUAAGUAUCAAAAUAAUCAAUUCCUUCAAUUUGGUUAAAACAUUUGGCAACAAGGCGUGCCUUAUAAUGUAUUAUAGAACCAUCAGCGUUAUAUUUUACCUUAUAAACCCAUCGACAACCUAAGGGCUUUUUAACACGUGGCAACUUAGUAAGAGUCCAAGUGUUGACUGAUAGAUUGCAUGGUCUGAACCUAAUUAUUAUAUGUGACAACUUGUUUAAAGCUAGUAGGGUCACGAACAACAGAAAUAAAGGAAAUAAAAUGAUAGAAAAAUUAUGACAAUUUUGACUAAGAUAAGACCUGGUAUAAACGAACAACAGAAAUAAAGGAAAUAAAAUGAUAGAAAAAAUAUGACAAUUUUGACUAAGAUAAGACCUGGUAUAAAUGAUACAAUAUAUUGGACUUAUGGCACCUAUCAUGUGCAAAAUUUCACUCAAAAUCUUGUAAGUAAGCAGGGACCUUGUUAGACCUUGAAGACCUACGAAUAGUAUCUUGAUGCUCAUCAAAAUCAAAGAUAGGGGAAGUAUGUAAAUUGUUGGGACUAGUAUCAAGACUAGAUGAAGGAGUUGGAGCAAAUAUAAUACUAUCAUCAGUGGAGUUAUUAACAUAAACAAUUAUUAGGCAAAAGCAUAUUAGUAUCAUCAAACAGAAUAAAGGAAUCGUGAGAAUCAUCAUUAAUAUGCAAGGAAGUAGAAUUAAGAUUAACAUAUGGAAAAACAUAUUCAUAAAAAUCUACAUUCCUAGAAACAAAGGUGACAUGGGUAUGUAAAUCAAACAUCAAAUAACUUUUAGUUCCUUAUCUAAAUCCAAGGAAAAUACACUUGGUGGCCCUUGGAUAAAGUUUAGUGCUAUAAUCACUACGCGAAAAAACGCAUUUUACAGCGCUUUUUUUAAGCCAUUUACAGCGCUUUUUCAAAAAAAUAAGCGCUGUGGAAACGAGCGCUGUAAAUGAUACAACAACGCUUUUAAAAAAGCGCUAUAAAACAUGUAAAUACAACGCGCGCUUGUUAUGCACAUUUUACAGUGCUUCUUCACAAAAAGCGCUGUAAUAUGCACCCCAUUAUAUGAGUUAUGGGUGUUCAUUUUACAGCAAAGCGCUCUAAAAUGCACACCCAUAACUCAUAUAAUGGGGGGCAUAUUACAGCGCUUUCUCAAACAAGCGUUGUAAUAUGCCCAACCAUAAUUUCAUAUAUGGGUGGGCAUAUUACAGCGCUUUUUUGAGAAAGCGCUGUAAAAUGCCCACCCAUAAUUUCAUAUAUGGGUGUGCAUAUUACAGCGCUUUCUCAAAAAAGCGCUGUAAAAUGCCCACCCAUAAUUUCAUAUUAUGGGUCUGCAUUUUACAGCGCUUUUCUUGUACAUUUUACAGCGCUUUCUCACGAAAGCGCUGUAAAAGGUGCACCAUUAAAGCGCUUUAGAACAACAUUUUACAGUGCUUUGUAAAAAAAGCGCUGUAAAAUGUGUGUUUUUUUUUUUUAAACGUUGUAAAUUAAUUAUUUGAAACGAAAAACGCUUUUUAGCUUUUUAUGGCAUUUUUUUUAAAAAGCGCUGUCUUUUAUCUUUGUAUCCAAAAUUAUUUUGAUCCAAAAUCACUUCACAAUCAGUGCACACAACAACAAAACAUAUUCAAAUACCAUAAGCAGUUCACACAAUCAGUAGAACAGAAAUCAGAACUCUGUAACUUUAUUAAUAUAUAUGUAACUCUGUAACUCUGUAAUUUACAACCUAAUUAACUACAUUCAGAUACGUAUAUAUAUAUAACCUAAUUUACAACCUAAACUACAUUCAGAUCCAUAUGCAUGUUCAUAUAUUGUGUCCUAUGAUCAUUUACAUAUAAUAACUAACAGAAUAUACAUUAUAUGCACUAGCUACCAUAUAAUAUUCAGAUCCCUUGCCCAGCAGCAAGCUAUUUCCCAGAAAAUCAAAUAAUUUUCAUGUCAAGCACGUACUGACACCAUUCUUCCUUUAAUUCCAUCAGAUCUUCCUCAGAAUAUGAUGGACUGGAAUUGGCAAAGUACUGCAAUAUAAAAAUUGAACAUAUUAUAUUAAGUUAGUAUCAAAUAUAUAGAUAAUUUAUAUAUGAAAAUCAUAUAAUGCAAAUACCGUACCGUUUCUGGGAUAAUAGUUUUAUUCUUCUCAACAAUCUCCUUCAUGAAUCUCAAUACGUAGUACCCACAGUCGAUGUUAUUUGUUUGACGAGGGCACUUUAUUGAGAUCCAUGUAAUGUUAUUAGACUUCUGCUUCGACACUUUAGCACCUCUUUGAGCUCGAUAAACUUUUAAGGCACUAUCGAAUGAAUAAAUGUGAUUAUUAGAGCAUGAAUAUUUAAAUAUAUAUAUAUGUAAGAAAUAAAUGAAUAUUACUUACGUGUCGAGCAUAUUCUUUAUUCCGGGGUGAUUGGUGUAAUCGCCGUGCACGGGAUCCAAAUAGUAUAUCACUUCAGAGACCGCAUUGAUUGCAAAUAGCACCCAAUGUGCCCUACAACAACAAAAAAUUGGUUAAGCAAUUUUGUUUAUAGACAACUAAUAAAUUAAAUUCUCAUCAAUUAAAAAAGAUAAAAUUACGUACCCUGAAUUAUAUGGUGCCAAGAACAAUUUAUCACUUUCUUUAUUUCUUAAAAACAUAUCUACAAUGUAGUGUUUUACAUUGUCUGGAUCGAGUUUGAACAUCGACAUCUUAUGCGGAGACAAGAAUGAGUAUUUAUUUGACAGUUUCCUCGUGCACACGACCUUCUCGUACAAAAACCUUCAAUGAAAAUUUUAAACUAGAUUAAUUACCAAUACAUUUAAUUAAUUACAAAUAAAUGCAAUUAAAAGUAUUUUUUACCUUAUGUACAAGCUGAUUACAGUAACACUCAGCUCCUUAUGUUCGAGAAGAUCGUACAUUUGCUCCUUUUCGAGGUAUUCAAUAUACUCAUCUCCAAAGAUGUCUUGAUUCAUUUGUACAAUGGGCGAAUCGUUGCUGCUGCCCAUGUUCCUUUUUAUUUGGAUGUCAAGACACGCCCCGUAUUUACCAAGGCGUGGCUGACUUUUAUUAGGAGCAGCAGCAGCAGCGACCGAUUUUCCCCGAUCCAGAUUUUUUGUUGCUGCAAGUUUUGCAGCUUUAUUACCCUCCAGCCUUUGUAGUUUGGCAGCCCUAUUAACCUCCAAUUUUUGAGGUCUGCUGCCUUUUUUUGGCUGUAGGGGUGGUUUAUUUAUUUGGACCUACAAAAAUGAGGUAAAAUGUUAGUUUAUUGAAUCUGAAAAAAUAAAAAACCUUAGGCAAUAAAUGUGACAAACCUUUUCGGGAGAUGUAACUGAUUUGUCCUUGGGAAUCUUUUUUUCGAGGGCAACAAGGUGUGUGGGCCAUGCCACGUAACUGCCAAUAGCGUCGCUUAAGAACUUCAUAUCUCCAUCGUUGUCCGGUAUGGGCAACGGUGCAGUUGGUUCGAAAGCAACCGUAGGCGAUACUUUGACAUGGCCCGCGGGGAUCGGAAUAUUGUGCAAUACUUCUCCCGAAGUAUUGUGCAAUAUUCCUUUUCCCACCUUCCGUUGAGUCGGCGAGGACAAGUAUAGGACACAUGUAGUGACACCCUACAUCAAUAGUUAAAACAUAAGUACAGUUAAUAUAUAAGUUUGUUUAAUACAUAAGUAAUUACAUAAGCAAGUAAGUAGUAAGUAAUUAAUUACCUCGGGAAUACUCUUCAAACCGACGUUGCAACUCCCGGUUUCACUCUCCAUUUGUAUUUCAGGUUGGAGCUGAACCGGAAGUUGCUUGUCUUUAUUCGUAUUCACCAAGAGUGCCACUUGCUCCGAUAAGAUUCUGAGCUUCUCUAAUACUUCCUCGUUGGAAGGUUUUUGGCGCUUCUCUUGAGGAAAAAAGCUUUUGGGAGUUACGCCAAAUCCUUUCCCCCUCACUCGACCGGAAUACUCAGGGACAUUAAACACUUUCCCAAGAAUGUCCCUGCACGUAUCCUUGUUGCCCUCUUGAGUUUCAGAACUUUGUUCAAUAGUUUCCUAAAAUACAUGUAACAUUAAAAAGAUAAGUUCAAUAGCAUUUUUAAAAUACAAUAUUAAAAAAUAUUAAAGUGAUAAUAUACUUACACAAAGUUCUACAACUUUCUUGACAUUUUCAUUAUCAACCACUCCUUCUUUGUUAACACGCGCUUCCUUCCAUAAGAUAUGACGACCCAAGGGUUGAUCGGCUUGGGUGUCUUUUCUCUAUUCGUUAAAAUCAUAAACAAAAUAAUACAAAUUAGUUACACACUAUAGUUUAUAAUACAAAUUACAAGUGAUGUUUAAUUACUUACAAUUUUUUGUUCAAGGCGUGCAUAUCCCAUACGUGAUUUCUUGUAUGGGUGUUUUGGGUUGCUUGCCCGUUCGCGAUUUGCCGUACUAAUAUUCUAUAUAAAAAAAAAAUUGCAAUUGUGUAAAAAUUUAAAAUACGCUACGAAUAUGAAUAAUAAAACACAAAUGCUAAUAAAUUAAUAACUUACGACAAACGCCGGGUCAGAACGUUUGGAAACAAAUGCACUCCAUUCAUCCUUUGAUAUAUAAUGUUGAUAUAUCUUUGGAGGUUCAGCAUUUGUGUUUCCUUCUCUAUCUUUUAGAUAGAAAUUUGAGAGAUGGGAUCUAAAUCCACGAUGGAUUUUCCCAGCAACUCUCAAAACAUAUGACUUUCGUUCCUCAUCAAGAACAAAAGUGGUCUGCAAUGAAAACAAUUAUAAGUAAUGUAUUUUACAGAAAAAAAAUUAUAAAUGACAAAAGAGUAGAUCAAAAUAUUUACUUGAAUGUCAUUCCAGAUGAUAUCUUUGGCAUCCUUCAACGCCUUAUCUCUCCAGUUGUCUAUUGUUAUUGGGACAUUUUGACGAACAACAGCCCCAAUGUAGCUUACAAACAUGGAGCUGUUGGGGUCAACUGGCUGACCACUCUCGUUCCAGCCAACCUAAUAAACUCAUAUAGUAAGUACAUGCCCUAAACCCUAAAAAAAGAUAAAAAAACACACAGCAAACAGAGUAUAUAUAGUAUACCUCAAAUUUAAUGCCACUGCUCCGUGCUUUAAUCACCCUUUGCAUGAUAGUUGCACCACGUUUGACUUCUUUUUCGUAAGUCUUAGAGGUGCCAACUUCUUCAUUUUGAACUUCUAAAUCUUUGUUUGUAUCCAUUUAACUACAACAAGUUCAACAUGCACUUUAGUAUAACAUCAACAAGCUCAACAUGGAUCAUGCAUUAUUAUAAACAAACUCAACAUGUAUCAGUAUAUCUUAAAAAAGCUCAACAUGCAUUUUAAUGAUUACAAAAAAUUUAUAACAUCAAUACCUGAAUAAUGGUUCGAAGAAAGAUGAAAUCUAAAGAAAAGAGGGAACGCAGAAAGUUCACAGAAAUAUGGUUCAAAGAAAUAGGAUAUUGAAGAAAUACGUAAUGAGGGUUACGUAUUUCAAUGAAAAUAUAUUGUGUGAAAUGGGAGAGAUGAUCUUGGAUGGAAAUAAGGUUCGAAAUGAAGGAGAUGAUCGUGGAAAUAAGGUUCGUAAAGGACGGGAUGAUAGGGUUUGCAAAAGAAGAGAAGAAAUGAAGGUUGAGAUGACAAUACCUGAAUAAUGAUGGUUCGAAGAAAGACGAAAUGCAAAGAAAAGAGGGUUUGCAGAAAGUUCACAGAAAUAUGGUUCAAAGAAAAGAGGGAACGGUAUUGAAGAAAUACGUAAUGAGGGUUACGUAUUUCAAUGAAAAUAUAUUGUGUGAAAUGGGAGAGAUGAUCUUGGAUGGAAAUAAGGUUCGAAACGAAGGAGAUGAUCGUGGAAAUAAGGUUCGUAAUGGACGGGAUGAUAGGGUUUGCAAAAGAAGAGAAGAAAUGAAGGUUGAGAUGAUAGUGAAAGACCUCCUUGUGUUAUUAUGUUAUUUGAAUACCUUUUACAGCGCUUUUACACAUAAGCGCUCUAAAAUGUCUCUUUAUCUUAAUUUUAAGAGGCUCUUUUACAGCGCUUUUCCCAAAUAAGCGCUGUAAAAGAACUCCGUGUGUUAUUAUGUUAUAUGAAUGUUUUUUAAAGCCUUUUACAGCGCUUUUCCACAUAAGCGCUCUAAAAUGUCUCUUUAUGUUAAUUUUAAAAGGCUCUUUUACAGCGCUUUUUCCAAAUAAGCGCUGUAAAAGGCCUUAUUGUUUUUGUGUUUUGUUAUGUUAUGUUAUUUUUUAAACAAGCUCAACAUGCAUGCAAAACCCACAUAGUAGUAACUGGUCACCACAAAAAUCCCUUCCUCUUCACCAAACUCUUCUCCUUUUAUGCAUCUUCUUCACAAACAUCAAAGCUUACUCUUUCACAAUUCAAUCUCCACCUCAACACCCUUUUUAUCUCUUUACAUUCUCUUUCCUUCUUAAAUCGAAACUUAAUUGGUAUUCAGGAUCAUUGCCAUGUUGCGAAAAAUGGGUUUGUGUCUGGUGUUUUUGGGGAUUCCCAUGAUGCGUACAAGGUGUUUGAAGAAAUGGGUUUGUGUCUGAUGUUUUUUGGAUUCCCAUGAUGCGUACAAGGUGUUUGAAGAAAUGGGUUUGUGUCUGAUGUUUUUUGAAUCCCAUGAUGCGUACAAGGUGUUUGAAGAAAUUAGGUGUCUGAUGAAUAUUAUUUUUAAAGCCAUUUUACAGCGCUUUGGCAAACAAGCGCUGUAAAAUGUCUUUUUUACUCACUUUCAAAAGAGUCGUUUACAGCGCUUUGUGUGAAAAGCGCUGUAAAAGGUAUAAAACACUCAUUAUUUUAUUUUUAAAAGGAUCUUUUACAGCGCUUUUUAAGAUAAGCGCUGUAAAAUGUCUCUUUAUUUUAUUUUUGUGUUUGGUUUAUUUGGGUUGGGAUGACAUUAAAAACAUUUUUAUCAUUGUUUAUUGGAUUAAAAAUAUUGUUAUCAUUGUCUUUAUCACAAUACUUUAGGAGAUGAUGAAUUAUUAGAAAUGAGUAUUCUGAAGAAUCUAUAUAUAUAUAUGCACUGAGCAAAAGAGAAUCUCUCUAUUCAGUUCAGUUCAGUUCAUGUAAAUUACUAAUUUAUAUUCAGUUCAGUUCAUGUAAAUCAAGCUAAAUAUAAAACACUCAUUGUUACAUGAACUUGGUAUAAAACACUCAAAUCAAGCUAAAUAUAAGCAGAAAAUAAAUUAAUCAGAAAAUAAAUUAAUCAGAACUUAGUAUAAAACACUCAAUUCAGAUUACAUGCAUAUUUACAAUAACACAGUUCAGAUUACAUGCAUAGCUUAUAUAAAACAAUUAAACAUAUAUAUACAUUAAGAUGCCCUUCUUCUUUUCCUGGUGACAUUCACAUUUGUUUGUCCAUUUACAAUACGAAACGAUGGAUUAAUCCAAAUUCCCUCAUCAUGAUCAUCUCUAAGAUAUAAACCAUCAUCAGUUGAAUCAAUUUCAUGUGGUUGUUGUGAUGUUGCAAAUAAAAGAUCAUUACCAACAUCUUCAUCAUUAUUGUUAUCAUCACUUAUUUUAUUGGUCGAUAGGACAACAGACCAUUUAUCAUUAGAAGGAUCAGUGACAUAAAACACUUGUUGAGCUUGCGACGCUAAAAUAAAAGGCUCGUCUUUGUAUCCCACCCUAUUAAAAUCGACAAGCAAGAAUCCUGACUCAUCAAUCCGAACGCCAUUAUUAUUAUCGACCCACUUGCAACCAAAUAUGGGAACACGAAACAUUGUGUAGUCUAACUCCCAUAUGCGCUCGAUAACCCCAAAAUAUGAUAGAUUUGCAUAUAUUGGGUUUUUGUCUUUUGCACUUGAGACAUGCAUCGCUUCAGCUACGAGAGUGACUCCACUAUUUUGCAUAGUGGUCUGAUCAUCUUGUUCUUUGGUAUAAAAUGUGUAGCCGUUAAUAACAUAACCAGUGUAAGAAAAGACAUGUAAGCUCGGACCAUUUGCUAGCCACCUCAAUCUAUUUGAAAUUGAUCCGGGGUCUAUAUCAAAUUUUGACAUUAUGUGAUUUUUUAACCAUGUUACAAAACUUCGAUUGUGCUCUCGAGUUAUCCAAUUUUGAUUCCUAUUCAUGUUCAAACGAGAUAACUGAUCAAUGUGUAUUGUAACAUACGGUUGAACCUCAUCAUCAUUGUGCAGAACAUACAAUUGUGCCUGCUCCCAUUCUGUCCUUGAUAUAGUCAGUAGUCUCCUUCCAGUUAUCCCUUCUCCUGAUAGUCUUCCCGAAUGACGAGACAUGGGAAGCCCUAUGGAUUCAACAUUGGACAGAUAUUCAGUACAAAAUUCAGCAGCCUCUUCAACAAUGUAUCGUUCAGCAAUACAACCUUCUGGUCGACUUCUACUUUUUACGUACCCUUUUAAUAUUUUCAUAUAUCGUUCUAUCGGAUACAUCCAUCUCAUAUAAGCUGGCCCACAAAGUUGUGUCUCCUUAACCAGAUGAACAGUAAGGUGAACCAUUAUAUCAAAAAACGAUGGUGGGAAAUACAUUUCAAGCUCACACAAAGUAACAACAAUUUCCCUCUGCAAUGUCGGUAAUUUCUGAGGGUCGAUCACUUUACUACAAAUUUCCCUGAAGAAGAAACAUAAUCUAGUUAAGGCUAGUCGAACUUUUUCAGGUAAAAUGGAACGUAUACCUAUUGGUAGCAAAUGCUCCAUUAUAAUAUGACAAUCAUGGGUCUUCAAACCUUUUAACUUGAGGUCUUUCAUACAAACCAAAUUUUUAAUGUUCGAAGAGUAUCCUUCUGGAACUUUAACUUCGUGUAGAAAUUUACAUAAAACAAUUUUUUCCUUUCUAGAUAGAGUAUGAGCGGCUGGAGGUAGAUAUGUGCGAUUUCCUUUCUUUACUGGAGCCAGUUCAUUUCUUAUUCCCAUAUCGACCAAGUCCAAUCUUGCAUUGACGCCAUCUUUAGACUUUCCUGGAACAUUGAGUAACGUACCAAUAACACUUUCAAAUACAUUUUUUUCAAUAUGCAUCACAUCGAGGAAAUGUCUUACAUACAAUGACUUCCAAUAUGGCAAUUCAAAGAAAAUUGACUUUUUCUUCCACCCAGUUUUCACCAGCUCUCCCGCAAAAGGUUUGCCAAAUUUAUUGGUCAAACCUUGUACUUUUUCAAGUAUUUGAUAUCCAGUCGGUGCUAAAGGAGCUUUACCUUCCUCUGAUUUUCCAUUGAAUGCAUUUCUCCACCCACGAUACUGAUGACUAUAAGGUAAAAAUCUACGAUGUCCAAGAAACACAUUCUUCUUACAAUGUUUCAACCGCAUCCAAUUUGUACUCUCUUCACAUAUAGGACAUGCACACUGACCUUUAAUGCUAUAUCCUGAUAAAUUACCAUAUGCUGGAAAAUCAUUAAUUAUGCCGAACAACAUAACCCUUAAAUUGAAACAUUCUUUCUUAUACCCAUCAUAAACUUCCACACCUGUCUCCCACAUACUUUUUAAAUUUUCGAUUAGAGGAGUCAAGUAUACGUCGAUAUCAUUCCCCGGUUGUUUGGGUCCAGAAAUUAACAGAGACAACAUCAUAAACUUACGCUUCAUACAUAACCAUGGAGGUAGGUUAUAUAUUACCAAAAUCACAGGCCACGUGCUAUGUGAGAUGCUUUGAAGACCAUGUGGAUUCAUUCCAUCAGUAGAAAGUGCAAGUCUUAGAUUUCUUGACUCUAUCCCGAAUUCAGGAUACUCGUGAUCAAUUUUUGCCCAUUGUGGGGAAUCUGCAGGGUGUCGAAACAUUCCAUCUCUAAUUCUUUCAUCUGCAUGCCAUGUCAAGUGUUUUGAAUCUUCUUCACUGCGAUACAUGCGCCUAAAUCUUGGUAUUAUAGGAAAAUACCACACGACUUUUGCUGGAGUAGAUUCUUUCUUCUUAUAUCGAGAGACAUUGCAUUUCGGACACGCCUUAAGUAGUUCAUAUUCGUUUCGAAAUAAAAUGCAAUCGUUAGGACACGCAUGAAUCCUUUCGUAACUCAUUCCAAUAGAACACAAAAUCCGUUUAGCCUCGUAGGUCCGACUGGGAAGUUCAUUAUCAUCUGGCAACAUAUCUUUUAUGAGUGUUAAUAAUUCCGUAAAGCUUUUAUCAGACCAUCCAUUACUCGCUUUUAAGUUGUACAACUUUAAUAUCGCUGACAGUCUUGUGAAUUUAGUACAACCAUUAUAUAAUUCUUUCUCUGCAUCACUCAACAAACUUUCAAACAUUUUAGGACAAUCUCGAAGAUCUUCUUCAACUGCUUUUGCAAUCUCAUCAACUCGGUCCGGCUCAUAUGUAUCUGUAUCGAAAUCAGUUGAAGCAUAUGUAGAACUAUUCUCAAAAUUAAUGUUUCCUUUUUUUUUCUCACCAUGUCUUAUCCAACAUGUGUAGCUUUGAUCAAUUCCAUUACAUACUAGAUGUCCUUCUAAUUCAUCUUCUCUAACACGUUUUCCAAAACAACAUUUUAAACAAGGACAAACUACUCUAUUUGGAUCUUUUGCAUUCUUCACUGCAAACUCAACAAACUCCUUCACUCCAAUUUCAUACUCUUUUGACAAUCGAUUGGCUGAAAUCCAUUUCCUAUCCAUAUUAUACCACCUAUAUAAAUGCAGUAACAAAAAUAAUAAGCUUUCAAAACAUAUCAACAAGUUUCAAAAAGAAACCAAUAUCAACUAACAAUUUCAAAACAGAACAGAUCAUGUGGUAUGAGUUUUUGACAAUUUUUGACAAUUUCAAAACAUAACAGAUCAUGUGUAAAAAAUACCUUAGACAACGUAGAUGGCCGCACAGUACGUAGAGGAUAUUAGGGUUCGCAACGUAUAUAAUUAUUUGAAAGAUGUAGAGGAUAUGAGGGUUUCCAACGUAUAUAAUUAUUUUAAAGAUGUAUUUUACAGCGCUUGUGAAAAACGCGCUGUAAUAGGUAGUUAAAUUCAAUGAAAGCGCAUGUGUUUUACAGCGCUUGUGAAAAACGCGCUGUAAUAGGUAGUUAAAUUCAAUGAAAGCGCAUGUGUUUUACAGCGCUUGUGAAAAACGCGCUGUAAUAGGUAGUUAAAUUCAAUGAAAGCGCAUGUGUUUUACAGCGCUUGUGAAAAAAGCGUUGUAAUAGGUAGUUAAAUUCAAUGUAAGCGCAUGUGUUUUACAGCGCUUGUGAAAAAAGCGUUGUAAUAGGUAGUUAAAUUCAAUGUAAGCGCAUGUGUUUUACAGCGCUUGUGAAAAAAGCGCUGUAAUAGGUAGUUAAAUUCAAUGAAAGCGCAUGUGUUUUACAGCGCUUGUGAAAAAAGCGUUGUAAUAGGUAGUUAAAUUCAAUGAAAGCGCAUGUGUUUUACAGCGCUUGUGAAAAAAGCGCUGUAAUAGGUAGUUAAAUUCAAUGAAAGCGCAUGUAUUUUACAACGCUUGUGAAAAAAGCGAUGUAACUGAUACGCGAAAGCGCUUCCUUUUACAGCGCUUUUUUGACAAGCGCUGUAAAAGCCUUAUAACGUGAUGCGCAAACGUUAUAUGACCUACUACAACGCUUGUUUUACAGCGCUUUGAAUCAAAAGCGCUGUAAUAGGUUCCGUUAUUUUUAAAAUAUAAUUACAACAGCGCUUGUGUUUAGCAAGCACUGUAAAAUGGGCGCUGUUAAAUGUCAUUUUUGGCGUAGUGAAUAUAGCAAAGUGGAAGCAAAAGCAAGACAUCAAAAAAACCUUUAAAUACAUAAAGUUAGGAGAUUGUUUAUAUAACCUUUCGAAAUGGGUCUUAUUAUGUAAACAGGAGGUAGUUCACCUGUUAAUAAGAGAAACAACGUGAUUAAUAGCAAAAGACAAAAAAUUCUUUGGUAGUUUAGAGUGGAAAAUAAGUGAUCUAGUCACAUUAAGAAGAUGAGGAUGUUUCCUUUCAACAAUUAAGUUUUCUUGGGGUGUAUCAACACAAGAGGUUUGAUGCAAUAUGCUCAAACUAGAAUAAAAAAGAGGCAUAUUGAAUUCAAGACCAUUAUCAUUGCUGAUUUUCUAGACUUUUGUAUUGAAUUGUAUUUUAACAAAGGAAACAAAGUUUUGAAGGAGCAUAUGAGUUUCAGAUUUAGCAUUCAUUAAAAAUAACCAAGAAAAUCAUGAAUAAUCGUCAACAAUAGUUGGAUAAUAUUGAUGACCAUCAAAAGAAGGAACAUUAAUAGGUCCUCAAAUAUCAACAUGUAUAAGGCUAAAAAUAUGUAAAGAAACAUUUUCACUACGCGGAAAAGGGAUUUUAGCAUUUUAUGCCCAAAUAAAAAGAGUCACAAAUCAUAUUUUUAUUAACUGAAAUGUAAUAAAAUCGUUUACACAUUUGUUGUAACAGGGUUAUUGAUGGAUGACCUAACCUAAAAUGUCAAACAUCAAAUUUAUUUGGUAUAGUGGCAUUAACAAAGGUAGUAUAAUGGUGAUUAGAAACAGGAGCAAAUUCAGUAGAAAAAACCAUAGCAGAGAUAUAAUAUGAUCAAGAAUAUAAAGGCUAUUACAAUGCUCCACAUGUCCUAUCGUCUUAUGGGUAUGCAAAUCCUGAAUUGUAUAAAAAUUCUUAGAAAAUAAUAGUUUGUAAUCCAAAUCAAGAGUGAGUUUUGAAAUAGAUAUUAAACUAAAAUUGAAUUGAUGAAUAAACAACCUAUUUUUCAAGUAAAGAUCAGAAGUAAAGUAAAAAUGUCCUAAAAAAUGCGUAAGAAUAUACGACCCAUUUGGAAAAAUAAUAAAAAUUGGUUCAAUUUGUUUCAUUGAAUAAAAACAUUUGAUAAAUGGACAAACAUGAUCUGAAGCCCCCGAAUCCAUAAUCCAUAGAGAAAAAGGAUUAGAUACGAAACCUGUAUUAGAAAUACUUGAUACUACGUGAUUGGAUUAAUCUGAAAUAGAAUUCUUGGUUUCGAAAGAAGUUACAUCAACAUAUUUAGAAUUAUGUAGCAGAUUAAUCAAAAUAUUAUAAUAUGUUUUGCUAAGAUGAUUGUUGAUUGUUGGAAUCGUGUUGCUGUGUAGGCUAGGAGAGAGAAGGAUUCUUAGAACCAUUUAUUGAAGACGAAUUCAAAGAUUGUUAUUUACGAUAUCAUAGUGGAAAGCCAUGUUUGAAAUAACAUGUGUCUACAAUGUGAUUAUUCUUAUGACAUCGAGUAUAAAACAUGGAGGGCCGAGGCUGACCACGACGAUGAUGGUAUUGCCUGCGACCUUGACCUGAAUUUUUGGAAGUAUUGAUAUUAAAAACAACAUAAGUAUCAGGAGGAUUAUGGUUUGAAUUGGGGACAAGGUCUUAUUGAAAAACGAAAGAAUGCACCUUGUUAAUAUAAGGUAAAGGAUCCAUGAAUAAAAUCUGUGUGUGAAUGUUAUUGUAAUUUUUAUUCAAACCUUUAAGAAAACAAGUGAUAUACUCUUGAUGCUUGAAAUAAUGAACUGUUGUGUUGAGCUUGCAAGAACGAGGAAUAGGGCAUAUGCAUGAUUGUGUUGGGCACAAAUCCUCCAAUUCACCCCAAAGAAUCUUCACAUUGGUGAAAUAGGUAGACAAAGAAUGUUCACCUUGUUUGAUUGAAUGAAGAUCACGAAUUAGAUUGGAAAAUCGAAAAUUAUUUCCUUGAAUGAAACGAUCACGAAGAUCAUACCAUAACUCUAAUGCUGAAUCAAUGCAAAUGGAGAACGUUAAAAACUCAAUAUUGAUUUUGAUUGUGAAAACGGAGAACAUCCUUGGUUCUGGAAACAGAAAAUGGAGAACAUUCUAGGUUAAUUAAAAUCAAUAGUUUAGUUUAUAUGUUUAACUUGAUAAACAAAAGGAUUGAAAGUAAAUAGAGAUAAGAAGAUAGAUGUCACAUAAUGAUAUAUCUUAGUUCACCUAACUCAGGCUAUGUUCAGUGUAACACCCCGUUUUUCAAAGCGAGGGUAUUUUUUUUUUUUAAAAGUAAUUAAAAACGAACGAAGAAAUAAAUCAGGAAAUGCUUUUGGAUAAAUAAUUGAGUCAUUAUAAUUUACGCAGCGGAAAAGUUUCUCCAAUUAUAAAUCCAAAACAUUUUUACAUAAACAUCAAAUGGUACAUGGAACCCAUUCAAAGAUGAUAUCAAACUGAUAAUAUUUAUAUAAGUACAGUUUUCCAAAACUAAAAUACUCCAAACCAAAGAGAAGGACCCCUAGUCCCUAUACAUCAUCCUAAUCUGAUCAUCCUACCAAAAACUAUACACCCUGAGUAAUCUCCACGCGCCCCGUGAGAUCCUCCUAACACAACCGCAGUCAAGCAUUCCCAUCUCCAUCCCUGUCCGUAGGGUACGAACCAGUAGGGCCGUCCUGACUCUCAUCUGAGGGCAAAGCCCAGAUUUCCACAAUAGUGUAAAGGGUCACCAACCAGAAAAUAACAGAUAACACAUAGCAAUUAAGUUUUUGAAUGCUCAAAACAACUUUUCAACUAAGCAUGCACCUUAACAGGAUUUUCAAUGUGCGAAAAGUUCAUACAUUACAUUGCCAAUGAAAAUGAAGGUAAAAUGCAGUUCUCGAUCUCCUAAUUAACACAUGAUAAAACAAGACAUGGAUAGAUUCAUGAGCAAUAAAUCAUACAACUAAAACUGAGGAUUUUCACUGAGCCAAUCGAUUGGGCAAUCGAUUGGGGUGAAGAUUUUUAAUGAAAACAGAAUCCUGGGCUGAAUUCAAUCGAUUGGUAAAUCGAUUGAUUGGUUCCCACAACUUAACACUUAGCAAUUCCUACGCGAUUACUACGACACACGAAGGUUCGAUAACCAUCAUACUCACACACAAUACACAACACAUAGCACUUAACACCUUCAUCUCAGUUAUCACGAUAAAUCAAAAUUCGAAUCACUCAAUCAUAAACUCAAAUCAAACAUGACUCGCGUGCCAGGCACCCUAAUGCAAUGCGUAUAUGCCAAAAUGCAUGGACUCGGAAUUCCAAACCAAAACCCUCCUCGAAGGGCCGUAAAUCAUAAUUGUACCGCCUAUCGCAGGCCAAAGUACCAAUUACCGAGGUGCCACCUAUCACGGGUCAGCACGAUUUACUAAAAUGCGUAAAUCAUAAACGUACCACCUAUCACGGGUCAGUACAGUUACCAUGGUGUCACCUAUCACGGGUCAACUCGAUUUUCUAAAUAGUAACUCGUAAACGUACCACCUAUCACGGGUCAGUACAGUUUACCGAGGUGUCACCUAUCACGGGUCAACACGAUUUACUAAAAGAAAAAGCGGGAAUCGUAAACGUACCGCCUAUCACAGACCAGUACUGUUUACCUAGGUGCCACCUAUCACGGGUCAGCACAAUUCACCAAAAAUGUAAAUCGUAAAUGUACCACCUAUCACGGGUCAGUACAGUUACCAUGGUGUCACCUAUCACGGGUCAACACGAUUUACUAAAAGAAAAAGCGGGAAUCGUAAACGUACCGCCUAUCACAGACCAGUACUGUUUACCUAGGUGCCACCUAUCACGGGUCAGCACAAUUCACCAAAAAUGUAAAUCGUAAAUGUACCACCUAUCACGGGUCAGUACAGUUACCAUGGUGUCACCUAUCACGGGUCAACACGAUUUACUAAAAUGUAAAUCGCAAACGUACAACCUAUCACGGGUCCGUACAGUUUACCAAGGUGUCACCUAUCACGGGUCGACACAAUUUACCAAAUGAAAUGCAUGAGCAUACACAGACUCCAUUCACAACAAUCGUUAAGCAAAUGCAGAUAUUAAAAGAUUCCCCAUUUUUAAUACCCAUUUAACUUAAACGACUUUCAAACAACAUUAAUUAAAUAAGUCAUUAAGAGAUUCCCCGUUCUUAAUACCGAUUUAACUUAAUGAUUUUCAAAACAAAACGUUAAGCAAACAGUCAUAUUAAGAGAUUCCCCAUUCUUAAUACUCAUUUACCGAAACGAUUUUCAAAAACGAUAGUUAAGUAACCGAGACAUUAAGAGAUUCCCCAUUCUCAACGCCCAGUUAACUUAAACAUUUUCCUCAAAUACACAUUAAGUAAACCGAGGUAUUAAAAGAUUCCCCAUUUUUAAUACUCGUUUAACUCUAAUGGUUUUCAAAUUCCACAGAAACAAAUUCAAACAUACUUUCACAUUCAAACCAUAAUUCACAACAACCACACCAAUUAACAAACAUCAAGUACGAACACACCAAAUACAACGAACACAAAUCACGCAACAUAACACCCAGAUACAUCAAAUUUCAUUUACCCAUAAUCAUACACAAUGACAUUCAAAUUCAUUUACCACGAAACAUUCAUCACUAUAAACAAAACCUAACUCUAAGGUUUUUACCCAUAACGCACUAGUUUCGUUUUUCCCCAAAUCGAUACAUUUAACCCUAACAAAUUCCUUCCCACACAACUACAGAUAAGUCCCUAAUGCAAGCUAGAAGUUUGGAAGGAGCCCUUACCUCAACGUUAGCUUUAUCGUGCGUUUCCGGUACCGCGAGAAAUUCCGGUAAAAUCUCCGCUCGCAACGCCGCUUCCAAAUUAGUUCACUAGCACCGUAGCGUGGUGGUGAGCAACUUUCCCUUCUAUCUCUUCGAGAAAUGAGGUUUGGAUCUAGGAGAAACGGAGGGGUUUGUGUUUGGAUCUCAAAACCGUUUUUCUUCGUUUUCGAAUCAAAGAGGAAGAGUGGAGUUGCGAAAACCUUGAUCUAACUCACACCCGACCUUGGGUCACUAGCUUUGAAGAAAAGGAAGCAACGAAAACGAAAAAUGGAGAAGGAUGGAUUUUUGGUUUUUCACGUGAGAUGUUCAGAGGAAGGAGAUGGAAUUCGAGAUUUUCCUUCCUUUCUAUUUCUUUCCUUUGUUUUUCCUUUCUUCCUUUUUCCUUCCUUCCUUUAUAUACUAUUUUCUUUUCCUUUUCCUUCCUUCUAGUUUUCCUUUCUUUUUCCCCCCAAACAAACAUAUAUAAAUAUAAUAAAUAUAACUUAACAAAUAUCUCAAAAUCUAGAUAUUUAUUAAAUUACCGUUUCACCCGAAACGCCUUAAAUUCUUCGUAAAGGAUUUUCCGCAGUUAAAUUCAAUUUAUUUAUCGACGAGAAAUUCUAAUUGGCAUCGAAAUAUCUUUUUGAUUAGAAAACUCCAAAAUAUUAUUAACUUUGGCUUAAAAGCCUCCGAGCCAAAAUCCAAAAUAUACCAAAAAUACAUAAAAGGGUACUUUAAAAUUAUGGGUCUUACAUUCAGUCCUUACAAUUGUGAUAUUUUCCACAAAGCGUUCAAAUGGAGAAAAUUCUUGGUUUUACACAGUUUUGUUCAGAUUAACCUUGAUAUGUAACAACAAUUCAUUUCCACUUAGAAAUGAUUCAAUUAGGUCACUUAUCAAUCUUUAGAGAGGAUUUUACAAUUCACCUUUUAUCCAUAAAAAUGAUUUUCUACAAACUAUAAACAACUAUUAUAGUCUUGAGUUUACAAUAAUGAUUUAAAGAGAUUGGUAGAAUCUGAGUAUGUUCAAAUCGUGUUUGAGAAUACAUUCUUGAUAAAAGAAAUACAUAUAACGGUUCUGAUAUUUUAAAAAGAAAACAUAAUUGAAUCUUUUGUUUAUGAUUGAGAAGUUUUCAAGUAUAUAAGUGUAUGUAAGUGAUGGAUUUCUUAACACUUGAAGUUCUAUUUUUCCUUGAACUUGAGGUUCUUUUUAUAGGCUUCAAGGAGGAUGAUGACAACUACUUUGAUCUUUGGAAAAUAUCCAGCUGUCAUGUGUCAAAUUUGACAAAAUUCGAUAACUUUUAAACCAUGAAUGUUUCUUGACUAGCUUCUCAUUCUUGACCGUGAUUUAUGGUCCUUUAUGCUCAUAGACAUCUCAAAGAUGUGUUCAAUGUAUUCAGAUCGAGAAUGUCUUUGAUUCGAUCAAAACAAGCUAGAGAAGGAUGUACACAUGUUGGAGAUUGAUUGUAAAUAUGCUGGAAAAUGAUGUUAUUUGUAACAUCCCGCUUUUUCGAGACAUUAACUUACAAAAUUCUAAAUGUAAAAAUACAAAUUCAUUUUUAUUUAUUUAUGAUUAUCUUAAAUACCCAUUUACCUUAAUAUCAAUUAAUAAUAUUUUUAGUUAUAUUUUCAAAAAUAAUGAAUCAAAGUAUUUACAAUCACUAAAAGUAAAUUUAAUACGUUAAACAAAAGAAACUCAUAGAGCCAAAACUAUUGAUGUUUUACUACUCAAACAUAAAUCCUAGUUGGUAAUAAACUUUGGAGUUGUGGAAAACUCACCCAAUAAAUCUAACACCCCACAAAAGUACCUCAAAACCUCCAACUAUAUACUUCCUCGCAUUUCUCCUAUUAGGUUGACUAUAAGCUCAAGUAACACUAUAUGUGACGUCGUGUCAAAUGUAAGGGUCAUCUCUAAAAUAUUUUACCAAUAAAUAAAUAACAAUCAAAAUAAAACAGUACAUUACCUACUCAGCCAACAAAAAGGUACAAUAACAAUGAAAAUAUAACAGUACAAUGUUUACAUAAUUAAUAACAUUAAUUCACUCAAACGACCACCUACAGUGACGAUACGAAUAUAACAUUACGAUAUCUACAUAAUUAAUAACAUUAAUUCAUUCAUCCAAACGACUACGAGGUACAAUAACAAUAAAAAUAUAACAGUACGGUUAUAUUUUAUAAAAAUGAAGUGAUUAAUUUUAUAAAAAUGUCAUAGAUAAAUUAUUAGGAGUGCAACAAGACAAUCAAUAUCACCAAAUGAAUGUGUUAUUAUUUUAAUUUUCAAUGAAAAAUUAAUUGUUGUUUUUUAAGUUUAUUUUUUAAUUAAUAUAAUAUACCUUAUUCUUAAGUUACAAUGAGAAAAUAAUGUUACAAUGAGAAAAUAAUAUCUAAUGGUUGGGUGAUGAGUACUAAAUGACAAAAACUAAUUUUUUUGCCUAAAACAAACAUGACAAUUUUAGUGAUAAAAAUUAAUGUAGCGAGUUGAACAAAAUAAUAUGACAUGUAACAUUGUAAUCAAAAGGCAAGUUUAAGUGAAAGAUGGUUCAUCAUAUAUAAGUAGACCAUACUUUAUUUAACAUAGUAAGUGGGAAACAAAACAAUUCAUAGAUGCAUGUUUCUAGUUUUCAUGGAGAUUCCAUGUUUCCAUGUCCUCUUUUCCUACCUUUGUCUCCGUUAUCGGGGUUUCCUCGAUUGUCGUCUUCUUCAACGGGUGGCUCACUAUUGCCGUAUCCCAUGCCACCGCCACCAUAGUUGUAUGCCAUGCCCUGUACCCAUUCUGAUGCCCAACCCAAUGCCAAAUCUCUCAAAGUUCUCCAAUCUACAAACCUUCUUAUUAAAGUACUAUAUUCGGUUUCCUCAGCUGUCACAAUAGUCAUAAGAAGGGGAACACACAGAAAGAAUACUAAGAUAAAAAAUUUUGUUUUCAUCCUUGCUUAAAUUUCCUAAAGUUUGUUGUAAAAUAUGAAUAAUAUCCUCAAAUAUUUAUAGUGGUCACGCAUAGAAAAAAUAAGAUAAUUUUAAAAGACAAAAACAUAUUGAAGAAAAAUAUAUUGCGUACUAAAAAAAAAGACAAUAUGUAUUCCAUGGCCAAUUGUGAAGACAAUGGGUCAUCAAAAUCCAUAGAGACAUGGAAAGGUUAAAUAAAUUAGAACAUGUUUGCCUUUUGGAUCAUGAUAAUUUGAGGAUUAAAGAGACGUUUUAUCCGAUUAAUCUUUUCUAAAAAGUUGCUUUUGGUUAAAUUGUUUCGGAAAAUAGAAUUUAAAACUAGCGAGUUGUAAAAUUUGGCUUCCUAAUAAAUUUAGGAUUAAAGAGAUGUAAUAUUCAAUUAAUUCUAGACGAAUGAUUUAUUUUGACUAUUAGAUGUAUUAAUAUUGGAUUAUUAAAUUUUUAGUUUCUAAAAAGUUUUGAAAUUUUAUUUUUAGUACUUAUUAAAAAAAUUAUAUUUUUUAGUUUCUACAAAAUUAUUAUGUAAACAGUUUAAUUUAUACCAUAUUGGAACAUCAAUAUAAAUAUUUAAAUACUUUUUUUUUGCAUACAUGCUAACAUUAUAAAAAGUUCUACAUAAAUAUCAAAAUUCAAUUUCUAAAUCUAUAUUUUAAAGACUUUUAUCUUAAAUAUAAGAUGUUUAAUUAAUUCAUCCCAAAUAAAAAAAAUUAAAAUUAAUGUGAAUUAAUUUUUAAGAAUAUUCUAAACAGGCUUACAAAAUAUUAUUCAAAAAUUUAAAAGUUGAAGAAUAUUUCAUUUCAUCAAAGACUAAAAUAAUUUGAUUAAUAAUUUUAUAGGAAUUAAAAAAAUGUAUGCAUACAUAAAAAAUAAAAAUAAAUUAUCAUCUUUUUAUCUUAGUAAGGGGUCUAGGAACACAACUAAAACAAAUCAGACGAGAACUUCUCGUUGAAUUAAUUAGAAAUAACUUAUAUUUGGUGUUGGUUAGCAUCCUUCUAAUCAGCUGUUGGGGGCAUUCCUUGUGCCUUCAUUUUAUUGAAUGGAUUUUUCUAAAAUGGAUUUUUCUUUGUUCAAAGAAGAACAAACCAUUGUUGAGUGUUUGCCGUCAUAACCAAUUAUUAAAAUAGAGUAAUAUUAAUGGAAAUGCACAAUUGCUCCUACGAUCCCUUAACUUAAUUUUAAAUAAUACUUUCAUUUUUUUUAUUUGGUCUUUUAUUUAAUAUUAUUACAAAAAUUCGAAAAUAUAAAGAAUGAAAAUAUGAGUUUAUUGGAAUAUUUAAGUUAUUUCAUCGACGUUGUUUCAAUAAAUUAUGAUCUCAUCAACAUAUAUCAAAAUAGAUUUAAUGAAUAAAGAAUGAUAUGAAUUAGAUUGAGUAUAUCCUUUUGAAAUGAGAGUAGAGGAAAGUCUAGCAAACCAUUGCUUACUAGACUGUUUUAAACCAUAAAGAGGUUUUUGAAGUUUACAAACAAUAUUUGGAUUAUGAGCCAAUAACCCAUGGGACAAUUGCAUAUAGACUUCCUCUUCUAAAUUGUCAUGUAAAAAAGCAUUGUGAGCAUCUAACUUAUGAAAAUGCCAAUUAUGAGAUGAUACAAGAGCAAGUAAGAGUCUUACGAUAAUGAGCUUAGCUAAAGUGAAUAAGUAUCAAAAUACUCAAUUCCUUCAAUUUGGUUAAAACAUUUGGCAACAAGGCGUUCCUUAUAACGUAUUAUAGAACCAUCAACGUUAUAUUUUACCUUAUAAACUCAUCGACAACCUAAGGGCUUUUUAACACGUGGCAACUCAGUAAGAGUCCAAGUGUUGACUGAUCGAGUAGCUGAGAUUGCAUGGUCUGAACCUAAUUAUUGUAUGUGACAACUUGUUGAAAGCUAGUAGGGUCACGAACAGUAGAAAUAAAGGAAAAAUAAAUGAUAGAAAAAAUAUGACAAUUUUGACUAAGAUAAGACCUGAUAUAAAUGAUACAAUAUAUAGGACUUAUGGCGCCUAUCAUGUGCAAAAUUACACUCAAAAUCUUGUAAGUAAGCAGGGACCUUGUUAGACCUUGAAGACCUACAAAUAGUAUCUUGAUGCUCAUCAAAAUCAAAGAUAAGGGAAGUAUGUAAAUUGUUGGGACUAGUAUCAAGACUAGAUGAAGGAGUUGGAGCAAACAUAAUACUAUCAUCAGUGGAGUUAUUAACAUAAACAAUUAUUAGGCAAAAGCAUAUUAGUAUCAUCAAACAAAAUAAAGGAAUCAUGAGAAUCAUCAUUAAUAUGCAAGGAAGUAGAAUUAAGAUUAACAUAUGCAAAAACAUGUUCAUAAAAAACUACAUUCCUAGAAACAAAGGUGACAUGAGUAUGUAAAUCAAGCAUCAAAUAACCUUUAGUUCCUUAUCUAAAUCCAAGGAAAAUACACUUGGUAUCCCUUGGAUCAAGUUUAGUUCUAUGAUGAAGCAAAGUGGAAGCAUAAGCAAGACAUCGAAAAACCAUUAAAUACAUAAAGUUAGGAGAUUGUUUAUAUAACAUUUCGAAAGGGGUCUUAUUACGUAAAACAGGAGGUAGUUAACAUGAUAAUAAGAAAAGCAACAUGAUUAAUAGUAGAAGACAAAAAAUUCUUUGGUAGUUUAGAGUGGAAAAUAAGUGAUCUAGUCCCCUAAUCCAUAAUCCAUAGAGAAAAAGGAUUAGAUACGAAACUUGUAUUAGAAAUACUUGAUACCAUGUGAUUGGAUUGAUCUGGAAUAGAAUUCUUGGUUUCGAAAGAAGUUACAACAUGAUAUUUAGAAUUAUGUAGCAGAUUAAUCAAAAUAUUAUAAUAUGUUUUGCUAAGAUAAUUGUUGGAAUCGUGUUGCUAUCUAGGUUAGGAGAGAGAAGGAUUCUUGCAACCAUUUGUUGAAGACGAAUUCGAAGAUUGUUUUUUACCAUAACUUAGUGGCAAGCCAUGAUUGAAAUAACAUGUGUCUACAAUGUGAUUAUUCUUAUGGCAUUGAGUAUUAAACAUGGAGGGCCGAGGUUGACCAUGAUGAUGCGAGAAUUUCCCGUGACCUUGACCUGAAUUUUUGGAAGUAUUGAUAUUAAAAAAAAAAACAUAAGUAUCAGGAGGAUUAUGGUUCGAAUUGGGGACAAGGUCUUAUUGAACAAAGAAAGAAUACACCUUGUUAAUAGAAGGUAAAUGAUCCAUGAAUAAAAUCUGUGUGUGAACGUUAUUGUAAUUUUUAUCCAAAACUUUUAGAAAACAAGUGAUAUACUAGCUUGCAAGAACGAGGAAUAGGGCAUAUGCAUGAUUGUGUUGGGCACAAAUCCUCCAAUUCACCCCAAAGAAUCUUCAAAUAGGUGAAAUAGGUAGACAAAGAACGUUCACCUUGUUUGAUUGAAUGAAGAUCACGAAGGAGAUAGGAAAAUCAAAAAUUAUUUCCUUUAAUGAAACGAUCAUGAAGAUCAUACCAUAACUCUGAUGGUGAAUCAAUGCAAACGGAGAACGUUAAAAACCCAAUAUUGAUUUUGGUUGUAAAAACAGAAAACGAAGAACAUCAUUGGUUCUCGAAACAGAAAAUGAAGAAUAUUCUAGGUUAAUUAAAAUCAAUAGUGUAUAUAUUUAACUUGAUAAACAAAAGGACUGAAAGUAAAUAGAGAUAACAGGAUAGAUAUCACACAAUGAUAUAUCUUAGUUCACCUAACUCGGGCUAUGUUCAGUCCUUACAAUUGUGAAAUUUUCCACUAAGCUUUCUAAUGGAGAACGUUCUUGGUUUUACACAGUUUUGUUCAGAUCAACCUUAAUAUGUAACAACAAUUCAUUUCCACUUAGAAAUGAUUCAAUUUGGUCACUUAUCAAUCUUUAGAGAGGAUUUUACAAUUCACCUUUUAACCAUAAAAAUGAUUUUCUACAAACUAUAAACAAUCCUUAUAGUCUUGAGUUUACACAAUGAUGAUUUAAAGAGAUUGGUAGAAUCUGAGUAUGUUCAAAUCGUGUUUGAGAAUAUAUUCUUGAUAAAAGAAUUCAUUAUAACAGUUCUCAUAUUUGAAGAAGAAAACAUAACUGAAUCUUUUGUUUAUGAUUGAGAAACUUUCAAGUAUAUAAUUGUAUGUAAGUGAUGGAUUUGUUAACACUUGAAGUUCUAUUUUUCCUUGAACUUGAAGUUCCUUUUAUAGGCUUCAAGGAGGUUGAUGACAACUACUUUGACCGUUUGAAAAUAUCCAAGUUGUCAUGUGUCAGAUUUGACCAAAUACCAUAAUUUUUAAAUCAUGAAAGUUUCUUAACUAGCUUCUCAUUAGACCAAAGGUUUCUCUCUCAUGAACCGAUGACAGGGUUGAGGAACACAAGAUUUUACAGCUAUGAAGACCUCAUUCUCAUCCCUUUAACAUAAAACAAUUAUAACAAACGAAGAAAAAACAACAACUUCCAAUUUUACAUGUUGGAUCAUCUCCCACAUUCCAACCCCUUGCCACACCGCCACACUUCAAGGGUCAUCCAAAAAAAAUUUCAAUUUAUUUCUGCCUCAUUAAAACACCAAGCACAAUACUUCUAACCAAAAAAAGGAAAAACUCCUAAAAGUGAUGUUUAUUUACGAAAAAAAUGAUUAUUUUUUAAAAAAACUUGUAAUAAAUAGGUACACUUUAUUUUCUUUUAAUUAGAAAUUUAAAAAUCAAACCAUUAACCUGACGAGCUGAAUAAACUAAUACAAUCCAAACGAAUUAAAUUAAUUUAUUUUGUAUUGGAGUCCAAAAUAUAUUAAAUAAAUCCUACUUCUAUUGGUUCAUAAAUCCUACUUUUAUAAAAUUGUCAUAGAUAAAUUAUUAGGGGCGCAACAAGACAAUCAAUGUCACCAAAUGAAUGUGUAAUUUUAAUUUUCAAUGAAAGAUUAAUUGUUGUUUUUUAAGUUUAUUUUUUAAUUAAUAUAAUGUACCUUAUUCUUAAGUUACAAUGAGAAAAUAAUGUUACAAUAAGAAAAUAAUAUCUAAUGGUAUUGGGUGAUGAGUACUAAAUGACAUAAAGUAAUUUUCUUGCCUAAAACAAACAUGACAAUUUUAGUGAUAAAAAUUAAUGUAAACACUAGAUGGUUCAUCAUAUAACAGUAGACCAUACUUUAUUUAACAUAGUAAGUGGGAAACAAAACAAUACAUAGAUGCAUGUUGCUAGUUUUCAUGGAGAUUCCAUGUUUCCAUAUCCUCAUCUCCUACGUUUAUUACCAUUUUCUCCUUCACCUUCGUCUUCAAUGGGUCCCUCACUAUUGUCGUCUUCUUCAACGGGUGGCUCACUAUUGUCGUCUUCUUCAACGGGUGGCUCACUAUUGCCGUAUCCCAUGCCACCAUAGUUGUAUGCCAUGCUCUGUGCCAAUCCUGAUGCCCAACCCAAUGCCAUAUCUCUCAAACUUCUCCAAUCUAUAUACCUUCUUAUUAAAGUACUAUAUUCGGUUUGCUCAGCUGCCACAAUACUCAUAAGAAGGGGAGCACACAGAAAGAACACUAAGAUAAAAAAUUUUGUUUUCAUCCUUGCUUAUAUUUCCUAAAAUUUGUUGUAAAUUAUGAAUAAUAUCCUCAGAUAUUUAUAGUGAUCACGCAUGGGAAAACUAAGAUAAUUUUAAAAGACAAAAACAUAUUAGAGAAAAAUAUAUUGCAUACUAAAAAAAAGACAAUAUGUAUUCCAUGGCCAAUUGGGAAGACAAUGGGUCAUCAAAAUCCAUUGAGCCACGGAAAGGUUAAAUAAGUUAGUAUAUGUUUGUCUUUUGGAUCAUGAUAAUUUGAGGAUUAAUUAAAGAGAUGUUGUAUCCAAUUAUUCUUUUUUUAAAAGUUGCUUUUGGUUAAUUUGUUUCAAAAAAAUAGAAUUUAAAACUACCGAGUUGUAAAGCGAUG